GCAGCUACCAUGCAGUCGAGCGGUACACAGAGGAGCUUGCUCCUUGGGUGACGAGCGGCGGACGGGUGAGUAAUGCCUGGGGAUCUGCCCGAUAGAGGGGGAUAACUACGGGAAACUGUAGCUAAUACCGCAUAAUGUCUACGGACCAAAGUGGGGGCUCUUCGGACCUCAUGCUAUCGGAUGAACCCAGGUGGGAUUAGCUAGUUGGUGAGGUAAUGGCUCACCAAGGCGACGAUCUCUAACUGGUUUGAGAGAAUGACCAGUCACACUGGAACUGAGACACGGUCCAGACUCCUACGGGAGGCAGCAGUGGGGAAUAUUGCACAAUGGGCGCAAGCCUGAUGCAGCCAUGCCGCGUGUGUGAAGAAGGCCUUCGGGUUGUAAAGCACUUUCAGCGGGGAGGAAGGGCUACUAGUUAAUACCUAGUGGCAUUGACGUUACUCGCAGAAGAAGCACCGGCUAACUCCGUGCCAGCAGCCGCGGUAAUACGGAGGGUGCAAGCGUUAAUCGGAAUUACUGGGCGUAAAGCGCACGCAGGCGGUUUGUUAAGUCAGAUGUGAAAUCCCCGAGCUCAACUUGGGAACUGCAUUUGAAACUGGCAAGCUAGAGUCUUGUAGAGGGGGGUAGAAUUCCAGGUGUAGCGGUGAAAUGCGUAGAGAUCUGGAGGAAUACCGGUGGCGAAGGCGGCCCCCUGGACAAAGACUGACGCUCAGGUGCGAAAGCGUGGGGAGCAAACAGGAUUAGAUACCCUGGUAGUCCACGCUGUAACCGAUGUCGAUUUGGAGGUUGUGCCCCUUGAGGCGUGGCUUCCGGAGCUAACGCCGUUAAAUCCGACCCGCCCUGGGGGAGUACCGGGCCGCAAGGGUUAAAAACCUCAAA
RNAcentral lists this ribosomal RNA (879 nucleotides) under uncultured bacterium. RNAcentral's name for it is "bacterial SSU rRNA". It matches the Rfam family "Bacterial small subunit ribosomal RNA", at positions 46 to 905 of the family's 1533-position model. The record is from RNAcentral.